GGAAUAUUGCACAAUGGAGGAAACUCUGAUGCAGCAACGCCGCGUGAAGGAUGACGGCCUUCGGGUUGUAAACUUCUUUGGCAGGGGACGAAGACAGUGACGGUACCCUGAGAACAAGCCACGGCUAACUACGUGCCAGCAGCCGCGGUAAUACGUAGGUGGCAAGCGUUGUCCGGAUUUACUGGGUGUAAAGGGCGUGUAGGCGGGUCCGCAAGUCAGAUGUGAAAUCCCGAGGCUUAACUUCGGAACUGCAUCUGAAACUGCGGAUCUUGAGUACUGGAGAGGAAAGUGGAAUUCCUAGUGUAGCGGUGAAAUGCGUAGAGAUUAGGAGGAACACCAGUGGCGAAGGCGGCUUUCUGGACAGUAACUGACGCUGAGGCGCGAAAGCGUGGGGAGCAAACA
This 402-nucleotide ribosomal RNA is filed under the name uncultured bacterium. Its description in RNAcentral is "bacterial SSU rRNA". It matches the Rfam family "Bacterial small subunit ribosomal RNA", at positions 358 to 774 of the family's 1533-position model. The record is from RNAcentral.